RNAcentral lists this ribosomal RNA (445 nucleotides) under uncultured bacterium. RNAcentral's name for it is "partial 16S ribosomal RNA". It matches the Rfam family "Bacterial small subunit ribosomal RNA", at positions 354 to 796 of the family's 1533-position model. The record is from RNAcentral.
GUGGGGAAUAUUGGUCAAUGGACGGGAGCCUGAACCAGCCAAGUCGCGUGAAGGAAGAAGGAUCUAUGGUUCGUAAACUUCUUUUGCAGGGGAAUAAAGUGCAGGACGUGUCCUGUUUUGUAUGUACCCUGAGAAUAAGGAUCGGCUAACUCCGUGCCAGCAGCCGCGGUAAUACGGAGGAUCCGAGCGUUAUCCGGAUUUAUUGGGUUUAAAGGGUGCGUAGGUGGUUUGAUAAGUCAGCGGUGAAAGUUUGCAGCUUAACUGUAAAAAUGCCGUUGAAACUGUCGGACUUGAGUGUAAAUGAGGUAGGCGGAAUGCGUGGUGUAGCGGUGAAAUGCAUAGAUAUCACGCAGAACUCCGAUUGCGAAGGCAGCUUACUAAGCUACAACUGACACUGAAGCACGAAAGCGUGGGGAUCAAACAGGAUUAGAAACCCGAGUAGUCC